GGAGGGUGCAAGCGUUGUUCGGAAUUACUGGGCGUAAAGCGCGCGUAGGCGGCCUCUUAUGUCGGGUGUGAAAGCCCUCGGCCCAACCGAGGAAGUGCGCCCGAAACUGAGAGGCUUGAGUACGAGAGAGGAGGACGGAAUUCCUAGUGUAGAGGUGAAAUUCGUAGAUAUUAGGAAGAACACCGGUGGCGAAAGCGGUUCUCUGGAUCGAUACUGACGCUAAGGCGCGAAAGCGUGGGGAGCAAACAGGAUUAGAUACCCUGGUAGUCCACGCCGUAAACGAUGGAUAUUAGUUGUUGCGAGCUUAUAAACUCGCAGUGACGACGCUAACGCAUUAAAUAUCCCGCCUGGGGACGACGGCCGCAAGGUUA
Molecule: ribosomal RNA, 371 nt
Filed under: uncultured organism
Description: partial 16S ribosomal RNA
Rfam family: Bacterial small subunit ribosomal RNA
Source: RNAcentral